This is a long non-coding RNA of Vidua chalybeata, 427 nucleotides long. RefSeq lists it as uncharacterized. The transcript is spliced from 3 exons. Lineage: Eukaryota; Metazoa; Chordata; Aves; Passeriformes; Viduidae. The record is from RefSeq and is a predicted model, not a curated record.
GUAAAUCUUCCAUUCCCAAAGUCUGGAAUCCUCACUAUGAUGUUACAGCCAUGGUUACUGAUUAUCCAGUGUUUUGUAGCUAGGUCAAUUGUCAGCUUCCAGCCAGGGUUGCAUUACUUUUGUCUGAUUCUUAUUUACGUCAACAUUUUCUAGCCCAUUAAAUAUGGUCAUAUAGUCUUGUAGCCAAAGUCUACAGCAGGCAGAGGACUUGGCCAAGAGAAAUGAAAUUGAGGGGGCAUUCAGAGACCCAUAUUCAGAAGAUAUAGUCAAAUAAAGGCCAAACCAUUCCUAAAUGGAGCAGCAAGGAGAAACAGAGGCACAUCCUGGGGACCAGAAGUCUCAUCAAAUCACAACAGAGAUUCAGUCCAGAAUAUCCUGGUAAACCUUGGAACCGGGCCAACAGAAACUGCAGAAGGUUCAAAAAUAA